Molecule: unclassified non-coding RNA, 1114 nt
Filed under: Hypocreales sp. KO-groupB 2014
Lineage: Eukaryota; Fungi; Ascomycota; Sordariomycetes; Hypocreales
Description: partial contains ITS1, 5.8S rRNA, ITS2 and LSU
Rfam family: Eukaryotic large subunit ribosomal RNA (bases 539-1114)
Source: RNAcentral
UCCGUUGGUGAACCAGCGGAGGGAUCAUUACAGAGUUUACAACUCCCAAACCCCUAUGUGAACAUACCAAUCGUUGCUUCGGCGAACCGCCCCGGCGUCCGGUCAGCCUCGUGCUGGCCGCGGCCCGGACCCAGGUGGCCGCCGGAGACCCCAAAACUCUUUUGUAUUUACAGUAUCUUCUGAAUCCGCCGCAAGGCAAAACAAAUGAAUCAAAACUUUCAACAACGGAUCUCUUGGUUCUGGCAUCGAUGAAGAACGCAGCGAAAUGCGAUAAGUAAUGUGAAUUGCAGAAUUCAGUGAAUCAUCGAAUCUUUGAACGCACAUUGCGCCCGCCAGCAUUCUGGCGGGCAUGCCUGUUCGAGCGUCAUUUCAACCCUCGACUUCCCCUUGGGGAAAUCGGCUGUUGGAGACGGCGAGGCCUGGCCUCGCCCCUCCCAAAUCCAGUGGCGGCCCGUCCGCGGCGACCUCUGCGUAGUACUUACACCUCGCACCGGAACCCCGACGCGGCCACGCCGUAAAACAACCCACUUCUGAACGUUGACCUCGGAUCAGGUAGGAAUACCCGCUGAACUUAAGCAUAUCAAUAAGCGGAGGAAAAGAAACCAACAGGGAUUGCCCCAGUAACGGCGAGUGAAGCGGCAACAGCUCAAAUUUGAAAUCUGGUCCCCAGGGCCCGAGUUGUAAUUUGUAGAGGAUGCUUUUGACGAGGUGCCUUCCGAGUUCCCUGGAACGGGACGCCAUAGAGGGUGAGAGCCCCGUCUGGUCGGAUACCAAGUCUCUGUAAAGCUCCUUCGACGAGUCGAGUAGUUUGGGAAUGCUGCUCAAAAUGGGAGGUAUAUGUCUUCUAAAGCUAAAUAUUGGCCAGAGACCGAUAGCGCACAAGUAGAGUGAUCGAAAGAUGAAAAGCACUUUGAAAAGAGGGUUAAAAAGUACGUGAAAUUGUUGAAAGGGAAGCGCCUAUGACCAGACUUGGGCCCGGUGAAUCAUCCAGCGUUCUCGCUGGUGCACUUUGCCGGGCACAGGCCAGCAUCAGUUUGGCGCGGGGGAUAAAGGCUUUGGGAAUGUGGCUCCCUCGGGAGUGUUAUAGCCCAUUGUGUAAUACCCUGCGCCGGAC